GAUGAACGCUGGCGGCGUGCUUAAGACAUGCAAGUCGAACGAAGCCCUUGUAGCAAUACUGGGGUUGAGUGGCGAAUGGGUGCGUAACACGUAGGUGACCUGCCCUGAAGCGGGGAAUAA
RNAcentral lists this ribosomal RNA (120 nucleotides) under uncultured bacterium. RNAcentral's name for it is "partial 16S ribosomal RNA". It matches the Rfam family "Bacterial small subunit ribosomal RNA", at positions 28 to 146 of the family's 1533-position model. The record is from RNAcentral.